UUGGGUACCGGGGUCAAGAGUCCCACUGGUUUGGGACUCUUCGAUCAGGGUUACAUAUCGAUGAAUUCUGAUACCCGAUUACCCAUCGGAUUUGGACUCAAUAUUUAUGAGAGGUUUAAUUAGUGAUUUGAUCAUUAAUUAACUCAAUUUGAUUGAGUAAUUAUUUUUGGAUCAAGUCCAAUUGAAUUGGAUUCAGUUGGGUUUGAUCCGAUUAGGUUAAGAGUUGACCUAAUCGUCGAGAUGGUUUGGUCCC
Molecule: long non-coding RNA, 253 nt
Filed under: Elaeis guineensis (African oil palm)
Lineage: Eukaryota; Viridiplantae; Streptophyta; Magnoliopsida; Arecales; Arecaceae
Description: long non-coding RNA (EGUI_LNC053376)
Source: RNAcentral